GGAGGUUAUUCUUUAUGUUGGUGGUUCAGUAUUUAUAACAAAAUGCAUCCACUAUCGAGUUGCAUAUGCUGAUUCCUCUGGCAGAAAUCGGCAUCUGCAGGUUCAUGAACAUUGUGAUCCCUCAAGCAUGCCACAUGGCAGAUGCAGAUGGUGGGACAUUGUCUUGUGAUUGGGUGCCACCCUUCUGCUUGCUUAAAGGCUGGUAGAACUGUAGAAGAUGUACCUUGUUGGGCCUAGAGUCUAGCCCCCACAACACAUGUUUGAAAUAUCCCUGAUGAUGUUGGCCUCCGUCUGACCUGGGUGAAUUAUCUCAGUUUUCUGACUGGAUGAUUGUUUCUCAAAUAGAUACAUACAGUUGCAGUUGGAGCUGCGGCUUGUCUAAUACUUGCAACAGGAACAAAAGGCAGACGGUUUUAUGAUGCCACUGCAAAAGCCAUGAUCCAACAGCCUAAAGUCCCAUCUUCAGGACUGAUGCCUGCAAUUAACGUUCUUAUCCGCUCAAAAGAGGUUGUAAUGCUGUUUGCGGUGGAGAGAUGCACAAAGUCAUCAUGGAUAAAGCUUGAUAGGGUGAUUUUAAGUACCCAUGUGGAAGGUGAUAUACUAGAGGGAUGUACAGCCUUGUAGUGGGAACUAUAAAUUUACAUGUUCUGAGCAGGGAUAUUCGUUCCUGUAAAAUUUUGCUGAUUAUCUUAAAGCUACAAAUUCAAUUAUA
This is a long non-coding RNA of Manihot esculenta (cassava), 712 nucleotides long. RefSeq lists it as uncharacterized. The record is from RefSeq and is a predicted model, not a curated record. The transcript is spliced from 3 exons. NCBI's taxonomy places the organism in Eukaryota, Viridiplantae, Streptophyta, Magnoliopsida, Malpighiales, Euphorbiaceae.